GAUGAACGCUAGCGGCAGGCUUAACACAUGCAAGUCGAGGGGUAUUGGUUUUCGGACCAAGAGACCGGCGCACGGGUGCGUAACGCGUAUGCAAUCUACCUUUUGCAGAGGGAUAGCCCCAGAGAAAUUUGGAUUAAUACCUCAUAGUAUAGUACUUUGGCAUCAAGGAACUAUUAAAGUCACAACGGCAAAGAUGAGCAUGCGUCCCAUUAGCUAGUUGGUAAGGUAACGGCUUACCAAGGCUACGAUGGGUAGGGGUCCUGAGAGGGAGAUCCCCCACACUGGUACUGAGACACGGACCAGACUCCUACGGGAGGCAGCAGUGAGGAAUAUUGGACAAUGGGCGCAAGCCUGAUCCAGCCAUGCCGCGUGCAGGAUGACGGUCCUAUGGAUUGUAAACUGCUUUUANACAGGAAGAAACACUCCGACGUGUCGGAGCUUGACGGUACUGUAAGAAUAAGGAUCGGCUAACUCCGUGCCAGCAGCCG
This 488-nucleotide ribosomal RNA is filed under the name uncultured bacterium. Its description in RNAcentral is "bacterial SSU rRNA". It matches the Rfam family "Bacterial small subunit ribosomal RNA", at positions 28 to 517 of the family's 1533-position model. The record is from RNAcentral.